UUGGAGGGCAAGUCUGGUGCCNGCAGCCGCGGUAAUUCCAGCUCCAAUAGCGUAUAUUAAAGUUGUUGCAGUUAAAAAGCUCGUAGUUGAAUUUCGGGAUUAGCAGGUCGGUCGUGCCACUGGUACGUACUGGUCUUGCUGAUUCCUCCCUCUUGACGAGCCGUAAUGCCAUUAAUUUGGUGUUGCGGGGAAUCAGGACUGUUACUUUGAAAAAAUUAGAGUGUUUAAAGCAGGCAUGCGCUUGAAUACAUUAGCAUGGAAUAAUGAAAUAGGACGUUNGAUCUUAUUUUGUUGGUUUCUAGGAUUGACGUAAUGAUUAAUAGGGAUAGUUAGGGGCAUUAGUAUUCAAUUGUCAGAGGUGAAAUUCUUGGAUUUAUUGAAGACUAACUACUGCGAAAGCAUUUGCCAAGGAUGUUUUCAUUAAUCAAGAACGAAAGUUAGGGGAUCGAAGACGAUCAGAUACCGUCGUAGUCUUAACCAUAAACUAUGCCGACUAGGGAUCGGAUGAUGUUAAUUUUUUAAUGACUCAUUCGGCGCCUUACGGGAAAC
RNAcentral lists this ribosomal RNA (549 nucleotides) under uncultured Glomus. Its description in RNAcentral is "SSU rRNA". It matches the Rfam family "Eukaryotic small subunit ribosomal RNA", at positions 548 to 1098 of the family's 1831-position model. The record is from RNAcentral. Lineage: Eukaryota; Fungi; Glomeromycota; Glomeromycetes; Glomerales; Glomeraceae.